RNAcentral lists this ribosomal RNA (200 nucleotides) under uncultured bacterium. RNAcentral's name for it is "partial 16S ribosomal RNA". It matches the Rfam family "Bacterial small subunit ribosomal RNA", at positions 30 to 229 of the family's 1533-position model. The record is from RNAcentral.
AUUGAACGCUGGCGGCAGGCCUAACACAUGCAAGUCGAGCGGUAGAGAGGUGCUUGCACCUCUUGAGAGCGGCGGACGGGUGAGUAAUGCCUAGGAAUCUGCCUGGUAGUGGGGGAUAACGCUCGGAAACGGACGCUAAUACCGCAUACGUCUUACGGGAGAAAGCAGGGGGACCUUCGGGCCUUGCGCUAUCAGAUGAG